RNAcentral lists this ribosomal RNA (735 nucleotides) under uncultured bacterium. RNAcentral's name for it is "bacterial SSU rRNA". It matches the Rfam family "Bacterial small subunit ribosomal RNA", at positions 9 to 744 of the family's 1533-position model. The record is from RNAcentral.
GAGUUUGAUCCUGGCUCAGGACGAACGCUGGCGGCGCGCCUAACACAUGCAAGUCGAACGGGGAUAUGCUGGACAAGGUUUCGGCCGAGGAAGGCAUAUUCGAGUGGCGGACGGGUGAGUAACGCGUGAGCAACCUGCCUUUCAGAGGGGGAUAACGAUUGGAAACGAUCGCUAAUACCGCAUAACAUUGCAGAGCCGCAUGGUUUUGCAAUCAAAGGAGCAAUCCGCUGAGAGAUGGGCUCGCGUCCAAUUAGGUAGAUGGCGGGGUAGAGGCCCACCAUGCCGACGAUUGGUAGCCGGACUGAGAGGUUGAACGGCCACAUUGGGACUGAGACACGGCCCAGACUCCUACGGGAGGCAGCAGUGGGGAAUAUUGGGCAAUGGGGGAAACCCUGACCCAGCGACGCCGCGUGAGGGAAGAAGGUUUUCGGAUUGUAAACCUCUGUCCUUGGUGACGAUAAUGACGGUAGCCAAGGAGGAAGCCACGGCUAACUACGUGCCAGCAGCCGCGGUAAUACGUAGGUGGCGAGCGUUGUCCGGAAUUACUGGGUGUAAAGGGAGCGUAGGCGGGAGAGCAAGUCGACUGUGAAAUCUAUGGGCUUAACCCAUAGCUGCGAUCGAAACUGUUCAUCUUGAGUGAAGUAGAGGCAGGCGGAAUUCCUAGUGUAGCGGUGAAAUGCGUAAAUAUUAGGAGGAACACCAGUGGCGAAGGCGGCCUGCUGGGCUUUAACUGAC